CGUCCUAUUAGCUAGUUGGUGAGGUAAUGGCUCACCAAGGCUACGAUGGGUAGGGGUUCUUAGUGGAAGGUCCCCCACACUGGCACUGAGAUACGGGCCAGACUCCUACGGGAGGCAGCAGUAGGGAAUAUUGGUCAAUGGGCGCAAGCCUGAACCAGCCAUGCCGCGUGCAGGAUGAAGGCUCUCUGAGUUGUAAACUGCUUUUGUACAGGAGCAAAAAAAUCCCUGCGGGGGUUCUUGAGAGUACUGUAAGAAUAAGCACCGGCUAAUUCCGUGCCAGCAGCCGCGGUAAUACGGGAGGUGCAAGCGUUAUCCGGUUUUAUUGGGUUUAAAGGGUGCGUAGGCGGCUUAUUAAGUCAGUUGUGAAAUCCUAGUGCUUAACGCUAGAACUGCGAUUAAUACUAUU
This 406-nucleotide ribosomal RNA is filed under the name Candidatus Cardinium hertigii. RNAcentral describes it as "bacterial SSU rRNA". It matches the Rfam family "Bacterial small subunit ribosomal RNA", at positions 234 to 637 of the family's 1533-position model. Lineage: Bacteria; Pseudomonadati; Bacteroidota; Cytophagia; Cytophagales; Amoebophilaceae. The record is from RNAcentral.